RNAcentral lists this transfer-messenger RNA (376 nucleotides) under Amoebophilaceae. RNAcentral's name for it is "Amoebophilus sp001897825 Standard tmRNA". It matches the Rfam family "transfer-messenger RNA". From Rfam's summary of the family: Bacterial tmRNA, also known as 10Sa RNA or SsrA, is named for its dual tRNA and mRNA-like properties. Its role is to liberate the mRNA from a stalled ribosome. RNAcentral also lists the same sequence under 1 other name. The record is from RNAcentral. Lineage: Bacteria; Pseudomonadati; Bacteroidota; Cytophagia; Cytophagales.
GGGGUCGACUGGAAUUGACGAUAAGUUCAGAUGCGAUGUAAGCAUGCGGGGUGUUGUAAGUAGUACCUCUACCAACAAACUUUCACUAUAUGUAAUUGGCAACAAUCAAGUAAUGCCUGCCAUGGCUGCUUAGUUGAUAACUAAGCACCGGCUGUCUUGCUAGCUUUUUGCUCUACAAGGCUAGCACCAAGACAUCAUCUAGUAGAACUAGUUAUAGUAGGUUACGUGAUGCUAUAGCGAAAUUGAGCGCGUAUAAGGAUUGUUCUAAGGUGCGUAACUAACCUAGGAGCAUCCCGACAAUAGAUAGUUACUAAGCAUGUAGAAAGCGUUGUUUUUGCUUGUUCGGACGAGGGUUCGAUUCCCUCCGGCUCCACAA